GUGCCCAUUGUCUAAUGGAAAAGACAGAGGGUCUCGUCUCCUAUCUCAUCGGAAGGGGCCGGGCCUUCUGAUAUAGGUUCGAAUCCUAUUGGGUGCU
Molecule: transfer RNA, 97 nt
Filed under: Sorghum bicolor (sorghum)
Lineage: Eukaryota; Viridiplantae; Streptophyta; Magnoliopsida; Poales; Poaceae
Rfam family: tRNA
About the family: Transfer RNA (tRNA) molecules are approximately 80 nucleotides in length.
Source: Rfam by way of RNAcentral